CCGCUGGACACAACUGUAUGCACGCAGCUCAAUUGUGCUCGUCUUCUCUACCUUGUUGUCCAGGGCUAUAAUCAGACGACCCCGAGGCGAAAGCGACGAAAGAAACGUGUGACUCCAAGCAUGGCUGAACUCAAGAUUUGAUCGAAUAAAUAUGGAAAAACAAUUUUGUGAACCCUGCAGCCUCACGUCUCCCAAGAUGAUGCAGACUUUCACAAUCCAUUGGAAUCCACUGCAGAAGCACCCAGCGGAUGUCAAAUAGGGAUGAGGUUUUGACGCUGGAUUAGUUCGGAUGUCGUGGCCGAAAUCGUACUGGGUGGUGGAAUGUUUGUCCAAGGACAAGGUACCGUUGCAACAGGAAGACACAAUACAGUGGAAUCUCAGUUCUCGACCACAAUCCGUUCCAGAAGGCGGUUCGAGAACCGAUAUCUUCGAAAACCCAAUUGAUAUUUCCCACGUCUGCGUACUGAGGCAGCGUUAGACACAAUAACAACGCGCGUCGUGGAUCGGCUGGUCUUGCCGCGCGGGUUAGGUUAUUUCCGGAUCUUGUCGCAGGCGUUCGAGAACAGGAUUUAAAAAAAAAAAAAAAACUCAAAAUUUUCAUCUGGAAACCGAUUUGUCUGAGAACUGAUACGUUCGAAAACAGAGUAUUCACUGCACAUACGCUCAAGUAGGUGUUGAGAUUAUUGUACUCUCUCAUUUGAAAAAAAUAAAAGUUUAAU
This is a long non-coding RNA of Syngnathoides biaculeatus (alligator pipefish), 719 nucleotides long. RefSeq lists it as uncharacterized. The transcript has 3 exons. NCBI's taxonomy places the organism in Eukaryota, Metazoa, Chordata, Actinopteri, Syngnathiformes, Syngnathidae. The record is from RefSeq and is a predicted model, not a curated record.